AAAGAAUAAAAAUAGAAAUAGAAACUAGAUAAUAAUUUUAAAAGUUUACCUAUCCCAUUUUACCCUACUCUACCCUGGCUCGAAGACAAAGAAAAUUUUAUUUUAUUUAUAAGAGGUCCUACAUUCAUCAUUUAUAAAGUAAUUACUAUUUAAAGUAUUUACUAACCGCAAACCAUUGGACAACAUGUGACACCUUGAUCAUAAUCUCAUCUGCUACAAAAUUGUAUGACGAUCAACCAUACCAACUUAAGAACAAUGACAGGCUGAGUAUUGUCGCCAAUAGAACACCUUUUGGCGGGGAAAAGCGUAUAUAUAUGUUAUCUGUGGCUAAAUUAUUUUCUUUAAUCUAUCAAUCUAUCUUGUUUACCGCGAAACCGCUUUGUCCGCGAAAGAAUGACAGAUCUAUUUAUGUAUGGACCAUUUUAGCGCUAUACUGCCUACAACAUGAAUCUGUAAUAACUUAAAACAAAUGUUUUCCAUUUAAAAUUUCAAAUGUGGUCCGAAGAAUAAACUUUCAGAUCAAUGUAAAAUAUGUUUGUGUCACUAAGUCAGUUUUAAUUUUUAUAACCUAUAAAUUCGUUAGGAAAUCAGGCGAAAACGCGUUAUUUUAAUUCAUUGCAAUAAGUGUUAGGUGUACAGUAGACCUAGUAAAAUCUAGCCUAGUGCAAUGGACGUAAAUAAACUGGAUCCUUAACUUUACAGCAAAGGUAAGCUUUUGUUUUUACUCUUCAAUCUGUCAUGAAACACGAAACUCCUGAACACACCUCGUUUAAAGAGUAAACAUCAAAAAUAUAUAUUCGAUUAAUUUACUUGACCUAGGCUACCUAACUGUACUUGGAAUUUAUAAAAUUUUUGCGGUUCCAAACAAUGAAAUGACUUAAUUAUUUUUCUGAGGCAAUAGCUUAUUGAUUAUGGAAAGUAAUAUUUGUAGGCCUUCAAAUAAAUGUUAUGGCAUUUAAAAAUGAGCAUUGAGUCUUGUACAAACUUUGUAUUUUUCAGAGAUAAAGAUUGACGUUGGAUUGGACACUUAAAUAAAAUUAUGUAGACUGAAAAUCUAGACUUAAUAUAAAUAUUGUUCUUGUUACAAUGGGUUUAAACAAUGUAUGUAUUAAUUUUCAGUAUAUCUAAUCGGUAAUCAACACCUAAACAAUUCCAACUAGUUGCAAGCUGAACGGGACAAUUUUCCGGCGUGUCCUUUAUGGACUGUACUCCGUCUUAGCACUAUCCUCAAGUUUUACCCGAGAGGCCAUGCUUCAGGUUGGACCGUCUUCCAUAUAUCUACUGACUUCAUAUAAAUGAAAGUGUACUAAGGACUCGCUGAUCUGCACUACCAGCUCAUGUUCAACGUUACUGAACAACAAAGUAAUCCGACAAUCAGACUGGACCCGGUCACGUUAGAUACCAGAGGAAGACGAAAAUAUAAUUGAUUCUGUACUGAUGCAUAACUUCGCUCGGAACGCGGCAAGAAUUAACAAUGGAAGAAAAUACUACAGACGUGUUUAUUAACAAUAAAGUUAUUUUAGUUUUUAUGAAAUAGCGAUUGAAU
Molecule: long non-coding RNA, 1546 nt
Organism: Leguminivora glycinivorella
Lineage: Eukaryota; Metazoa; Arthropoda; Insecta; Lepidoptera; Tortricidae
Exons: 4
Source: RefSeq, a predicted model, not a curated record